Molecule: ribosomal RNA, 384 nt
Filed under: Mesomycoplasma hyorhinis
Lineage: Bacteria; Bacillati; Mycoplasmatota; Mycoplasmoidales; Metamycoplasmataceae
Description: bacterial SSU rRNA
Rfam family: Bacterial small subunit ribosomal RNA
Source: RNAcentral
AGACUGGGAUAACUAUUGGAAACAAUAGCUAAUACCGGAUAUAGUUAUUUAUCGCAUGAUGAGUAAUAGAAAGGAGCUUCACAGCUUCACUUAAAAAUGGGGGUGCGGAACAUUAGUUAGUUGGUAGGGUAAUGGCCUACCAAGACGAUGAUGUUUAGCCGGGCCGAGAGGCUGUACGGCCACACUGGGACUGAGAUACGGCCCAGACUCCUACGGGAGGCAGCAGUAAGGAAUUUUCCACAAUGAGCGAAAGCUUGAUGGAGCGACACAGCGUGCAGGAUGAAGUUCUUCGGAAUGUAAACUGCUGUUAUAAGGGAAGAAAAAAUAGAAUAGGAAAUGAUUUUAUCUUGACGGUACCUUAUUAGAAAGCGACGGCAAACUAUG